Molecule: ribosomal RNA, 253 nt
Filed under: uncultured bacterium
Lineage: Bacteria
Description: partial 16S ribosomal RNA
Rfam family: Bacterial small subunit ribosomal RNA
Source: RNAcentral
UACGAAGGGGGCUAGCGUUGCUCGGAAUUACUGGGCGUAAAGGGCGCGUAGGCGGCACUGUUAGUCAGGCGUGAAAGUCCUGGGCUCAACCUGGGAACCGCGCUUGAUACGGCAGAGCUAGAGGAUGGAAGAGGGUCGCGGAAUUCCCAGUGUAGAGGUGAAAUUCGUAGAUAUUGGGAAGAACACCAGUGGCGAAGGCGGCUUACUGGUCCGGUUCUGACGCUGAGGCGCGAAAGCGUGGGGAGCAAACAGG